Gallus gallus (chicken) is the source of this 436-nucleotide long non-coding RNA. The record is from Ensembl. Lineage: Eukaryota; Metazoa; Chordata; Aves; Galliformes; Phasianidae.
CUGGGUAUCCUGAAUAGAUUUCCAGGAAAUCCUGGACGGAGGGUUUUCUGGGUAGAUAGGAAUUAGCAACCAAAUGUUCUACAUGCUGCUGGAAAUGGGUCUGCAGGUGCGGUCGGUGAUGCUGUGAGCUGUGUGCACUGUCCUGGUUGUGGAAGAGAGCUGGUGUUCAUGGCCAGAAAUGGCACUGCCCUAGAAGAACUGGAAUAUUUCAAAGCAUCACUUCCAAAUGCUGAUGUGGGGAAUGAUGGGUUCUGGGCGUGUGCAGGUAUCCAGACAAUGGGACAGGCUGCCAAAGGAUGCAUUGAUUAACCACUGCUGAUGCUGCCAAACACGAGGCAUGGUCAGGAACGUGAAGCCCUUGGGAUGCAAAUUCAAAGAGACGCAACAAAUAACCAUAAAAUAAAAAUUAAAAUGGAAAAAAAAAAAAAAAAAAAAA